UCUCUCCUGAAAUUCAGAGAAAAAUGUCAGUUGCUUGAAAAAAGAACGUCCUGUCAGAUCAACGCCUGCUACAGGAAUGAUGAGAUGAGCGAUAUUGACAGAUGAAAAUUGACGAAAAUCGGUAGUUUACGUAAAUAACUAAGACUCGUUAAUCUAUUUUGCCACAACAAUCAGCAAACAAAUACUUUUACUGAAUUUCGGCAAAGCGAAUCUGUCAAAAUCUUAAAAUCAGAGCUGCAGGAGCCAACAUGUGUUCGGAAUGUUUUAAAACGUUCUGGUAAACAGCGAGUGGAAAGCGCCUGCAUGAAUAUUGCUUGGAACGUCUCACCCUCGAAAUGGAAUUGCAGCCAAAAUGGUCGUGCGGCUAUUAAAUAUUUGCUUCAAACGGAAAAGCGCAACGUUCCCCAAAGUGAGCGAGAAGGGAAAUGUGGCUCAUAUAUUUGUGAUGCAAUAAUACAUUAACUUCAAAUAAAUUUGUUUAUAUUAUUUAAAUUUA
Aedes aegypti (yellow fever mosquito) is the source of this 496-nucleotide long non-coding RNA. RefSeq lists it as uncharacterized. Lineage: Eukaryota; Metazoa; Arthropoda; Insecta; Diptera; Culicidae. The record is from RefSeq and is a predicted model, not a curated record. The transcript is spliced from 2 exons.